This is a long non-coding RNA of Alligator sinensis (Chinese alligator), 492 nucleotides long. RefSeq lists it as uncharacterized. NCBI's taxonomy places the organism in Eukaryota, Metazoa, Chordata, Crocodylia, Alligatoridae. The record is from RefSeq and is a predicted model, not a curated record. The transcript is spliced from 3 exons.
GUGAGAUGAGGUCCUGGAUGAUUGGAAAAGGGCAAAUAUAGUGUCCAUCUUUAAAAAAGAGAAGAAGGAGGAUCCUGAGAAUUAAAAAGCAGUCAGCCAGAUCUCGAUACCUGAAAUUCAUGGAGCAUGUCCUCAAGGAAUCUGUUGUGAAGCACACAAUCUACUAUGGAACAGCCAGCAUGAAUUCACCAAAAGAAUGCCAGGCAAAGGGAGCAGUUCCUCAGAGACCCCUCGUGUAUUCUGGUGGAUCCUCAUCUUGACUCAGACGUCUAUCCAGGUCUUUCUGGAUUCUACCUGCCCACCAGUGCACCUGCAACUCCAUCCAACUUAGUGUCAUCUGCAAAUCUGCUAACCAUUUACUCAAUUCCAUCAUGCAAAUGAUUAGUGAAGAUGUUGAACAUUACUGGACCCAGAAACUCCACUUGAGAACUCCUCUCAAGUAGACAUUGACCCAUUUGAUGAUAACUCAUCAAGCAUGAUGAUUCAACCUGU